UCAGAACGAACGUUGGCGGCGUGCCUAAUACAUGCAAGUCGAGCGAGAAACGGGUAGCAAUACCCGGAGUACAGCGGCGAAAGGGUGCGUAUGACAUGAAGAACGUACCCCUCCGUUCGGAACAACCCCGCGAAAGCGGGGCUAAUACCGGAUACGGCCGCGGCGAUGCCUGUCGCUGCGGUGAAGGUCGCAAGACGCGGAUGGAGCGCUUCAUGGCCUAUCAGCUAGUUGGCGGGGUAACGGCCCACCAAGGCGAUGACGGGUAGCCGGACUGAGAGGUCGACCGGCCACACGGGGACUGAGACACGGCCCCGACAUCUACGGAUGGCAGCAGUAGGGAAUAUUGCGCAAUGGGCGAAAGCCUGACGCAGCGACGCCGCGUGGGGGAUGAAGGCCUUCGGGUUGUAAACCCCUUUCAUGUGGGACGAAUUCUGACUUAACCACAGGAAGAAGCACCGGCUAACUCCGUGCCAGCAGCUGCGGUAAGACGGAGAGUGCAAACGUUGUUCGGAUUUACUGGGCGUAGAGGGCACGUAGGCGGCCAGGCAAAUCAGUUGUGGAAUCCCGACGCCUACCGUCGGAACGGCAAUUGAAAAUACCUGGCUCGAGGGCAUGAGGGGUCGCGGGAACUCCUGGUGGAGCGGUGAAAUGCGUAGAUAUCAGGAGGAACGCCGGAGGCGAAAGCGCGCGACUGGCAUGUCCCUGACGCUGAGGUGCGAAAGCCGGGGGAGCAAACAGGAUUAGAUACCCUGGUAGUCCCGGCUGUAAACGAUGGACACUGAAUGGAGGUGGGUUCACCU
This 800-nucleotide ribosomal RNA is filed under the name uncultured bacterium. Its description in RNAcentral is "bacterial SSU rRNA". It matches the Rfam family "Bacterial small subunit ribosomal RNA", at positions 24 to 838 of the family's 1533-position model. The record is from RNAcentral.